AAGUGCUGCUAAUGUCAGUUUGCAGACUACAUAGCUAAUUAGCAAGUCAGCUAUAGAAACUGCACAGCUUAAAAAUACUCUUGUUAAGGCUGGCUGAUAUGUAGAUUUAACUAGAUUCAUUCAAAUUUUUGUUUUUGCACGAUGUGAAAUAUUCUGACACAUCGAGUAAUUAUAAUAUGCACAAAAAGGUUGACUUUAGUCAAAUCGUAAAGUAGAUGAUAGCUGCUACAUUAGCUGUCUUCAGUCAUGACAGUCUUGUAAACUGUGAAGUGAAUAGUUUGACUACAUGCACACCUGCCACAGUUUAUAGGACUCUCCAGAUGGCUAGCUGCUCUGACCAUCUUGUAGUGAAUUUAACAUUAGCAUCUACGAAAGGAACAUAUUGAAAAGGACUCUGCAUACUGUGAAUCUUGUGGCUGAGAGCCAGAAGCUACACAUUGGAUAUACAGUAAAAUACACAACAGACACACAAAGAUAAGGACUGUACAUUGGAGACAAUGUGUGCCAGCUUAUCAACAAAUAAGUGAUAAAUCAGCAGGACACCCAUUUUUGAAAAGGAAAGUCCUCUUGCUGUAUGAUGAACCCCUGACCAGCUAGGUGUAGACCAGAGGGUACUGCAUGGCUUUUCAGGAUGCUGAGGUAGCCCUUUUGGUCCAGGGUGCCAGUCACUCUGUGCAAGUCACCAACUCUGAAUCCAGCGAAGAAGCCCCAGACCAUCACACUUCCUCCUCCACGCUUUUAUAAAGAGGGUUUGUAAGUGAUCAACAAAAGUUGGGACACCUGUAGGAACUGUUUGCAUCAACUUUCAAGCCUUCAUUUACUGCCAUUGUCAUUGAAAUUACACAUACCUUUGCAAGAUGUGAAGACACCACAAAUCUAUAGCCAAAGGUAGAUGGUGUCUCUUUUUUAACAGUAGUUUGUUGAAGCCCUUGAUUUGAUGGUAUCAGUCUGACGCUACUUCAUAAUUCUGCAUCUGUAAAACUGUUUCUCACAUCGUUAAUUGUCACAUCAUAUCAUAAUUGAUGUGUUACAGCAGUAAUUGCACUGUAAUGCAUUUCAGCAAUAAAACAUGAAACUCCACCUUUGCUAAAAAAAAGUUGGAUUAUUUUGUAGCAGCAUGGUGUCAUGUGACUGUGAUGUAUUCACAGCUCUUGCACAGCCUGCAGAUGUACGAUGAA
Molecule: long non-coding RNA, 1178 nt
Organism: Thunnus maccoyii (southern bluefin tuna)
Lineage: Eukaryota; Metazoa; Chordata; Actinopteri; Scombriformes; Scombridae
Exons: 3
Source: RefSeq, a predicted model, not a curated record